UACGUAGGGAGCAAGCGUUAUCCGGAUUUACUGGGUGUAAAGGGCGAGUAGGCGGGCUGGCAAGUUGGGAGUGAAAUCCCGGGGCUUAACCCCGGAACUGCUUUCAAAACUGCUGGUCUUGAGUGAUGGAGAGGCAGGCGGAAUUCCGUGUGUAGCGGUGAAAUGCGUAGAUAUUAGGAGGAACACCAGUGGCGGAGGCGGCUUACUGGACGGUAACUGACGCUGAGGCUCGAAAGCGUGGGGAGCAAACAGG
RNAcentral lists this ribosomal RNA (253 nucleotides) under uncultured Oscillospiraceae bacterium. Its description in RNAcentral is "partial 16S ribosomal RNA". It matches the Rfam family "Bacterial small subunit ribosomal RNA", at positions 524 to 776 of the family's 1533-position model. The record is from RNAcentral. Lineage: Bacteria; Bacillati; Bacillota; Clostridia; Eubacteriales; Oscillospiraceae.